UUGGCCUUGGAAGGAAUUUGAUUUCUUUAGGUGUACUAUGUAAUAUUUGUUCUAAUACAGUAUUGGGUAUCAUUUUUUCAGCACUUAUGGAAGAGAAUAAAACUAGAACAUGAUCACAUUUCUGUAAUACAAUAUUCAAUAAAUUAAUGGUGUAUACGGAAAAUACUGCCUGUCGGGAAAAAGAGAAAACCUAGAAAAUUGAACUGUAUGUCACAGGAAUAAACCUCGGAAUAAAAAUAUUAUCUAGAAGAAUCUCCUAUACUUUGUUUUCCUAAAUCAUUUCUACCCAUGCCAAGCCCCUGACCAACUUUCUCCAUUCAGAGUAUGUAACCACUAUUGAAGACAAGAAAAGUCUCUAGAUUUAGAGAGAUAUAGUAUGUAAAGAUUUCCACUGCGUCACAAAAGACUCAGGUGGAAAAGGCACUCUCAAAAUUGGUCAAUGAAAGCAAAGCUGUUCAGCAGGUAGGAUAUGGAGCUUCUCAGUGACACCAUCAUUAGGCCCUCCCUGAAAAAUCUCUUGUAACCUUGAGAGCCCUAGCUCCUUCUGUGAGGUCAUAAGUGUUGUUGUGACAGCACUUGCUUCUUAGAUAUUCCUUCAGUACCUCUAGGGCUUACUAAUUGGCCUUUAAUUCAGAGUGAACAGCCAUUUUUGAGGGAGAAAAGGAAGAUGAAGAGAUCAGAGAUGGAAAGAAGGAAGAUGUCCUUCUGUCUUGGUGUUAAAAAAGGAAGAAAUACGUGGUCCAUUGGAGAGCUAAAUUAGUCCUGGUGUUCACUUUGUCAAUCUGUGCUCCGUGAUUGUGCUCCAGAAGUGGUCCACUAUGGGGUCUUACAACAUUUUGGUUCAUCACAAGGAACUCUGUUCCCUCCAGACCACAAUUGGCGAAGAGAUCAGAGACUCCGUCAGAGAGAGACCCAACCACCUGGUCAGGUGGGCACUCCUGAGGCUGCAGAGCAGAAGAGACCACCAACACUGCCCACCCCUGCCCACAUCCCUGGCUCAAGAGGAAACUGUAUAAGGCCUCUGGGCUCCCGUGAGGGAGGGCCCAGGAGCAGCAGGACCCCUGCCUGAGAAACCGCUGGAACCUGAAGGAAACAGAUUGGAUAAACAGUUCUCUGCACCCAAAACCUGUGGGAGGGAGAGCUAAACCUUCAGAGAGGCAGACAAGCCUGGGAAACCAGAAGAGACUGCUCUCUGCACAUACAUCUCUGAAGCCAGAGGAAAAAACCAAAGGCCAUCUGGAACCCUGAUGCACUGAAGCUACUGGAAAGGGUGGCACAGAUCUUCCUGGUUGCUGCCGCCACAGAGAGCCCAUGGGCAGCACCCCGUGAGCGAACUUGAGCCUCAGGAUGACAGGUAACACCAACUUUUCUGCUGCAAGUGACCUGCCUGGUGAACUCAAGACACAGGCCCACAGGAACAGCUGUAGACCUGUAGAGAGGAAAAACUACACACCCGAAAGCAGAACACUCUGUCACCGUAACUGACUGAAAGAGAGGAAAACAGGUCUACAGCACUCCUGACACACAGGCUUAUAGGACAGUCUAGCCACUGUCAGAAAUAGCAGAACAAAGUCACACUAGAGAUAAUCUGAUGCCGAGAGGCAAGCGCAGGAACCCAAGCAACAGAAACAAAGACUACAUGGCAUCAUCGGAGUCCAAUUCUCCCACUAAAACAAACAUGGAAAAUCCAAACACACCAGAAAAGCAAGAUCUAGUAUCAAAAUCAUAUUUGAUCAUGAUGCUGGAGGACUUCAAGAAAGACGUGAAGAACUUCUUUAGAGAAACACAGGAAAACAUUAAUAAACAAGUAGAAGCCUACAGAAAGUAAUCACAAAAAUCCCUGAAAGAAUUCUAGGAAAACAUAAAUAAACAAGUAGAAGCCCAUAAGGAGGAGACACAAAAAUCCCUGAAAGAGUUCCAGGAAAACACAAUCAAACAGUUGAAGGAAUUAAAAAUGGAAAUAGAAGCAAUCAAGAAAGAACACAUGGAAAAAACCCUGGAUAUAGAAAACCAAAAGAAGAGACAAGGAGCUGUAGAUACAAGCUUCACCAACAUAAUACGAGAGAUGGAAGAGAGAAUCUCAGGAGCAGAAGAUUCCAUAGAAAUCAUUGACUCAACUGUCAAAGAUAAUGUAAAGCGGAAAAAGCUACUGGUCCAAAAUAUACAGGAAAUCCAGGACUCAAUGAGAAGAUCAAACCUAAGGAUAAUAGGUAUAGAAGAGAGUAAAGACUCCCAGCUCAAAGGACCAGUAAAUAUCUUCAACAAAAUCAUAGAAGAAAACCUCCCUAACCUAAAAAAAGAGAUACCCAUAGACAUACAAGAACCUACAGAACUCCAAAUAGAUUGGACCAGAAAAGAAACACCUCCCGUCACAUAAUUGUCAAAACACCAAACGCACAAAAUAAAGAAAGAAUAUUAAAAGCAGUAAGGGAAAAAGGUCAAGUAACAUAUAAAGGCAAACCUAUCAGAAUCACAGCAGACUUCUCGCCAGAAACUAUGAAGGCCAGAAGAUCCUGGACUGAUGUCAUACAGACCCUAAGAGAACACAAAUGCCAGCCCAGGUUACUGUAUCCUGCAAAACUCUCAAUUAACAUAGAUGGAGAAACCAAGAUAUUCCAUGACAAAACCAAAUUUACACAAUAUCUUUCUACAAAUCCAGCAGUACAAAGGAUAUUAAAUGAUAAAGCCCAACAUAAGGAGGCAAGCUAUACCCUAGAAGAAGCAAAAACUAAUCGUCUUGGCAACAAAACAAAGAGAAUGAAAGCACACAAACAAUACCUCACAUCUAAAUAUUAAUAUAAAGGGAAGCAAUAAUCACUAUUCCUUAAUAUCUCUCAAAAUCAAUGUCCUCAACUCCCCAAUAAAAAGAAACAGAUUAACAAACUGGAUACGCAACAAGGACCCUGCAUUCUGCUUCCUACAGGAAACACACCUCAGAGACAAAGACAGACAUUACCUCAGAGUGAAAGGCUGGAAAAGAACUUUCCAAGAAAAUGGUCAGAAGAAGCAAGCUGGAGUAGCCAUUCUAAUAUCAAAUAAAAUCAAUUUCCAACUAAAAGUCAUCAAAAAAGAUAAGGAAGGACACUUCAUAUUCAUCAAAGGAAAUAUCCACCAAGAUGAACUCUCAAUCCUAAAUAUCUAUGCCCCAAAUAUAAGGGCACCUACAUACGUAAAAGAAACCUUACUAAAACUCAAAACACACAUUGAACCUCACACAAUAAUAGUGGGAGAUUUCAACACUCCACUCUCAUCAAUGGACAGAUCAUGGAAACAGAAAUUAAACAGAGAUGUAGACAGAUUAAGAGAAGUCAUGAGCCAAAUGGACUUAACGGAUAUUUAUAGAACAUUCUAUCCUAAAGCAAAAGGAUAUACCUUCUUCUCAGCUCCUCAUGGUACUUUCUCCAAAAUUGACCAUAUAAUUGGUCAAAAAAUGGGCCUCAACACGUACAGAAAGAUAGAAAUAAUCCCAUGCGUGUUAUUGGACCACCAUGGCCUAAAACUGGUCUUCAAUAACAAUAAGGGAAGAAUGCCCACAUAUACGUGGAAAUUGAACAAUGCUCUACUCAAUGAUAACCUGGUCAAGGAAGAAAUAAAGAGAGAAAUUAAAAACUUUUUAGAAUUUAAUGAAAAUGAAGGUACAACAUACCCAAACUUAUGGGACACAAUGAAAGCUUUGCUAAGAGGAAAACUCAUAGCGCUGAGUGCCUGCAGAAAGAAACAGGAAAGAGCAUAUGUCAGCAGCUUGACAGCACACCAAAAGCUCUAGAACAAAAAGAAGCAAAUACACCCAGGAGGAGUAGAAGGCAGGAAGUAAUCAAACACAGAGCUGAAAUCUGAAGUAGAAACAAGUAGAAACAAAAAGGACCAUAGAAAGAAUCAACAGGACCAAAACUUGUUUCUUUGAGAAAAUCAACAAGAUAGAUAAAGCCUUGGCCAGACUAACGAGAGGACACAGAGAGUGCGUCCAAAUUAACAAAAUCAGAAAUGGAAAGGGAGACAUAACUACAGAUUCAGAGGAAAUGAAAAAAAAUCAUCAGAUUUUACUAUAAAAACCUAUAUUAAACAAAACUUGAAAAUCUUCAGGAAAUGGACAAUUUCCUAGACAGAUACCAGGUAUCUAAGUUAAAUCAGGAACAGAUAAACCAGUUAAACAACCCCAUAACUCCUAAGGAAAUAGAAGCAGUCAUUAAAGGUCUCCCAACCAAAAAGAGCCCAGGUCCAGACGGGUUUAGUGCAGAAUUCUAUCAAACCUUCAUAGAAGACCUCAUACCAAUUUUAUCCAAACUAUUCCACAAAAUUGAAACAGAUGGAUCACUACCGAAUACCUUCUACGAAGCCACAAUUACUCUUAUACCUAAACCACACAAAGACAACAAAGAAAGAGAACUUCAGGCCAAUUUCCCUUAUGAAUAUCGACACUAAAAUACUCAAUAAAAUUCUGGCAAAGCGAAUUCAAGAGCAUAUCAAAACAAUCAUCCACCAUGAUCAAGUAGGCUUCAUCCCAGGCAUGCAGGGAUGAUUUAAUAUACGGAAAACCAUCAAUGUGAUCAAUUAUAUAAGUAAACUGGAAGAACAAAACCACAUGAUCAUUUCAUUAGAUGCUGAGAAAGCAUUUGACAAAAUUCAACACCCCUUCAUGAUAAAAGUCCUGGAAAGAAUAGGAAUUCAAGGCCCAUACCUAAACAUAGUAAAAGCCGUAUACAGCAAACCAGUUGCUAACAUUAAACUAAAUGGAGAGAAACUUGAAGCAAUCCCACUAAAAUCAGGGACUAGACAAGGCUGCCCACUCUCUCCCUACUUAUUCAAUAUAGUUCUUGAAGUUCUAGCCAGAGCAAUCAGACAACAAAAGGAGAUAAAGGGGAUACAGAUCAGAAAAGAGGAGGUCAAAAUAUCACUAUUUGCAGAUGAUAUGAUUGUAUUUUUAAGUGAUCCCAUAAGUUCCACCAGAGAACUACUAAAGCUGAUAAACAAUUUCAGCAAAAUGGCUGGGUAUAAAAUUAACUCAAAUAAAUCAGUUGCCUUCCUCUACACAAAAGAGAAACAAGCCGAGAAAGAAAUUAGGAAAACGACACCCUUCAUAAUAGACCUAAAUAAUAUAAAGUACCUCGGUGUGACUUUAACCAAGCAAGUAAAAGAUCUGUACAAUAAGAAUUUCAAGACACUGAGGAAAGAAAUUUAAGAAGACCUCAGAAGAUGGAAAGAUCUCCCAUGCUCAUGGAUUGGCAGGAUUAAUAUAGUAAAAAUGGCCAUUUUAACAAAAGCUAUCUACAGAUUCAAUGCAAUCCCCAUCAAAAUACCAAUCCAAUUCUUCAAAGAGUUAGACAGAACAAUUUGCAAAUUCAUCUGGAAUAACAAAAAAAAAAACAGGAUUGCUAAAACUAUCCUCAACAAUAAAAGGACUUCAGUGGGAAUCACUAUCCCUGAACUCAAGCAGUAUUACAGAGCAAUAGUGAUAAAAACUGCAUGGUAUUGGUACAGAGACAGACAGAUAGACCAAUGGAAUAGAAUUGAGGACUCAGAAAUGAAUCCACACACCUAUGGUCACUUGAUUUUUGACAAAGGAGCCAAAACCAUUCAAUGGAAAAAAGAUAGCAUUUUCAGCAAAUGGUGGUGGGUCAACUUGAGGUCAACAUGUAGAAGAAUGCAGAUCUAUCCAUUCUUAUCACCCUGUACAAAGAUUAAGUCCAAGUGGAUCAAGGACCUCCACAUCAAACCAGACACACUCAAACUAAUAGAAGAAAAACUAGGGAAGCAUCUGGAACACGUGGGUACUGGAAAAAAUUUCCUGAACAAAACACCAAUGGCUUACGCUCUAAGAUCAAGAAUCGGCAAAUGGGAUCUCAUAAAACUGCAAAGCUUCUGUAAGGCAAAGGACACUGUGAUUAGGACAAAACGGCAACCAACAGAUUGGGAAAAGAUCUUUACCAAUCCUACAACAGAUAGAGGCCUUAUAUCCAAAACAUACAAAGAACUCAAGAAGUUAGACCGCAGAGAAACAAAUAACCCUAUUAAAAAAUGGGGUUCAGAGCUAAACAAAGAAUUCCCAGCUUAGGAAUGCCAAAUGGCUGAGAAACAACUAAAGAAAUGUUCAACAUCUUUAGUCAUGAGGGAAAUGAAAAUCAAAACAACCCUGAGAUUUCACCUCACACCAGUGAGAAUGGCUAAGAUCAAAAACUCAGGUGACAGCAGAUGCUGGCGAGGAUGUGGAGAAAGAGGAACAGUCCUCCAUUGUUGGUGGGAUUGCAGACUGGUAAAACCAUUCUGGAAAUCAGUCUGGAGGUUCCUCAGAAAAUUGGACAUUGAACUGCCUGAGGAUCCAGCUAUACGUCUAUUUGGCAUACACCCAAAAGAUGCCUCAACAUAUAAAUGAGACACAUGCUCCACUAUGUUCAUCGCAGCCUUAUUUAUAAUAGCCAGAAAAUGGAAAGAACCCAGAUGCCCUUCAACAGAGGAAUGGAUACAGAAAAUGUGGUACAUCUACACAAUGGAAUAUUACUCAGCUAUCAAAAACAACGAGUUUAUGAAAUUCGUAGGCAAAUGGUUGGAACUGGAAAAUAUCAUCCUGAGUGAGCUAACCCAAUCACAGAAAGACAUACAUGGUAUGCACUCAUUGAUAAGUGGCUAUUAGCCCAAAUGCUUGAAUUACCCUAGAUCCCUAGAACAAACGAAACUCAAGACGGAUGAUCAAAAUGUGAAUGCUUCUCUCCUUCUUUAAAUGAGGAAAAAGAAUACCCUUGGCAGGGAAGGGAGAGGCAAAGAUUAAAACAGAGACUGAAGGAACACCCAUUCAGAGCCUGCCCCACAUGUGGCCCAUACAUAUACAGCCACCCAAUUAGACAAGAUGGAUGAAGCAAAGAAGUGCAGACCGACAGGAGCCGGAUGUAGAUCGCUCCUGAGAGACACAGCCAGAAUACAGCAAAUAUAGAGGCGAAUGCCAGCAGCAAACCACUGAACUGAGAAUAGGUCCCCUAUUGAAGGAAUCAGAGAAAGAACUGGAAGAGCUUGAAGGGGCUCGAGACCCCAAAAGUACAACAAUGCCAAGCAACCAGAGCUUCCAGGGACUAAUCCACUACCUAAAGACUAUACAUGGACUGACCCUGGACUCUGACCCCAUAGGUAGCAAUGAAUAUCCUAGUAAGAGCACCAGUGGAAGGGGAAGCCCUGGGUCCUGCUAAGACUGAACCCCCAGUG
Non-coding RNA from Rattus norvegicus (Norway rat), 7191 nucleotides. NCBI's taxonomy places the organism in Eukaryota, Metazoa, Chordata, Mammalia, Rodentia, Muridae. The record is from RefSeq and is a predicted model, not a curated record.